AUUGAACGCUGGCGGAAUGCUUUACACAUGCAAGUCGAACGGCAGCACGGGGGCAACACUGGUGGCGAGUGGCGAACGGGUGAGUAAUACAUCGGAACGUGCCCAGUCGUGGGGGAUAACGUAGCGAAAGUUACGCUAAUACCGCAUACGAUCUACGGAUGAAAGCGGGGGACCGUAAGGCCUCGCGCGAUUGGAGCGGCCGAUGUCAGAUUAGGUAGUUGGUGAGGUAAAGGCUCACCAAGCAGACGAUCUGUAGCUGGUCUGAGAGGACGACCAGCCAGACUGGGACGGAGAGACGGCCCAGACGCCUACGGGAGGCAGCAGUGGGGAAUUUUGGACAAUGGGCGCGAGCCUGAUCCAGCCAUGCCGCGCGCAGGACGAAGGCCUUCGGGUUGUAAACUGCUUUUGUACGGAACGAAAAGGCUCUGGUUAAUACCAGGGGCUCAUGACGGUACCGUAAGAAUAAGCACCGGCUAACUACGUGCCAGCCGCCGCAGUAA
Molecule: ribosomal RNA, 500 nt
Filed under: uncultured bacterium
Lineage: Bacteria
Description: partial 16S ribosomal RNA
Rfam family: Bacterial small subunit ribosomal RNA
Source: RNAcentral